AGCUCUGGUGGCCUAGUGGUUAGAUCAUCCAUCUUGGAUGUGGGAGGUUGCAGGUUUGAACCCUGGGCAAGUCA
Potamilus streckersoni is the source of this 74-nucleotide non-coding RNA. Lineage: Eukaryota; Metazoa; Mollusca; Bivalvia; Unionida; Unionidae. The record is from the annotation of a GenBank genome assembly.